This is a long non-coding RNA of Quercus lobata, 295 nucleotides long. RefSeq lists it as uncharacterized. The transcript is spliced from 3 exons. The record is from RefSeq and is a predicted model, not a curated record. Lineage: Eukaryota; Viridiplantae; Streptophyta; Magnoliopsida; Fagales; Fagaceae.
GACAAUCCGACAUGGCUGGCUUCCUUUUGAAGAUUGGGUUGUCACUGUGAAGAUUUGGGAUUAUACUCUACCAACAUCGUGUCAUCUCGACGGAAUUGAAAGUUUUAAUGAAGAAGUAAUGUUUUUAACACAACCAAGUGCAAAACAACAUCCAAACGUGGUAAAUUUGUUAGGCUAUUGUAAUAGACGCUACCUUGAAGGUGUUGUUUAUGACCUCAAUCCUUUGGAUACUGUUCGUAACUUGGCUACCACAGGUAGUCUUACUUGGCUUCAAAGGAUUAAAGUGGCUCCUGGA